AUGCUAUGGGCACUUACUCAACAUGUCCUUGUAUCUCUCCCACGUAUCAUAGAUAGUCUCAAACUCCAACUGCCUAUAGGAAGAGAUAUCACUUCUAAGCUU
Molecule: small nucleolar RNA, 102 nt
Organism: Dioscorea cayenensis subsp. rotundata (Guinea yam)
Lineage: Eukaryota; Viridiplantae; Streptophyta; Magnoliopsida; Dioscoreales; Dioscoreaceae
Source: RefSeq, a predicted model, not a curated record